CACGUAGGCGGCUUCGUAAGUUAGAGGUGAAAGCCUGGAGCUCAACUCCAGAAUUGCCUUUAAGACUGCAUCGCUUGAACCCAGGAGAGGUGAGUGGAAUUCCGAGUGUAGAGGUGAAAUUCGUAGAUAUUCGGAAGAACACCAGUGGCGAAGGCGGCUCACUGGACUGGUAUUGACGCUGAGGUGCGAAAGCGUGGGGAGCAAACAGGAUUAGAUGCCCUGGUAGUCCACGCCGUAAACGAUGAUAACUAGCUGUCGGGGCUCUUAGAGUUUCGGUGGCGCAGCUAACGCAUUAAGUUAUCCGCCUGGGGAGUACGGCCGCAAGGUUAAA
RNAcentral lists this ribosomal RNA (331 nucleotides) under uncultured bacterium. Its description in RNAcentral is "bacterial SSU rRNA". It matches the Rfam family "Bacterial small subunit ribosomal RNA", at positions 568 to 898 of the family's 1533-position model. The record is from RNAcentral.